CCAUGGACUGAGGUAUAACCAAUGUGGUCAUUUACUCUUCUGGCUUAGGAACACCCUGGGACUCAGAAGAGUGGAUUCCUAGAAAAGUUAUCAGAAGUUGAAUAAAAGAAGAAGGAGGAAGAGAAAGUCUUUUAAAAUAGGAAAUGGAGUGGGAAACACAUCUCCAUCUGUAAGCCUAUAUGGGACCACGGAAAACAAGAGUAUGAAAAGAAGUUUUUGUUGUUGUUGUUUUUAUAUUUAUUUUAUUUAACUUUUAUUUUAACUUCAGGGGUACAUGUGCAGGCUUGUUACAUAGGUAAACUUUGUCAUGGGUGUUUGUUUUACAGAUUAAUUCAUCACCCAGGUAUUAAGCCUAGUAUCCAAUAGUUGUUUUUCUGAUCCUCUUCCUCUUCCCACCUUCCACCCUCUGAUAUGCUCCAUUAUGUGUUGUUCCCUCUAUGUUUCCAUGUGUUCUCCUCAUUUAGCUCCCUCUUAUAAGUGAGAACAGGAGGUAUUUGCUUUUCUGUUCCUGCAUUGGUUUUCUAAGUAUAAUGGCCUCCAGCUCCAUCCAUGUUCUGCAAAAGACAUGAUUUUAUUUUUAAUGGCUGUAUAAUAUUCCAUGGUGUAAUACUAUGCAGCCAUAAAAAAGGAUGAGUUAAUGUCC
RNAcentral lists this long non-coding RNA (643 nucleotides) under Homo sapiens (human). Its description in RNAcentral is "HSALNT0285602". Lineage: Eukaryota; Metazoa; Chordata; Mammalia; Primates; Hominidae. The record is from RNAcentral.